UAGGGAAUCUUCGGCAAUGGGGGGAACCCUGACCGAGCAACGCCGCGUGAGUGAAGAAGGUUUUCGGAUCGUAAAGCUCUGUUGUUAGGGAAGAACGAGUGUGAGAAUGGAAAGUUCAUACUGUGACGGUACUUAACCAGAAAGGGACGGCUAACUACGUGCCAGCAGCCGCGGUAAUACGUAGGUCCCGAGCGUUGUCCGGAUUUAUUGGGCGUAAAGCGAGCGCAGGCGGUUAGAUAAGUCUGAAGUUAAAGGCAGUGGCUCAACCAUUGUAGGCUUUGGAAACUGUUUAACUUGAGUGCAGAAGGGGAGAGUGGAAUUCCAUGUGUAGCGGUGAAAUGCGUAGAUAUAUGGAGGAACACCGGUGGCGAAAGCGGCUCUCUGGUCUGUAACUGACGCUGAGGCUCGAAAGCGUGGGGAGCGAACAGG
Molecule: ribosomal RNA, 429 nt
Filed under: Bacteroidota bacterium
Lineage: Bacteria; Pseudomonadati; Bacteroidota
Description: Bacteroidetes bacterium partial 16S ribosomal RNA
Rfam family: Bacterial small subunit ribosomal RNA
Source: RNAcentral